UACAGAGGGUGCGAGCGUUGUCCGGAAUCACUGGGCGUAAAGGGCGCGUAGGUGGCCUGAUAAGUAGGGGGUGAAAUCUCGAGGCUCAACUUCGAGGCUGCCUCCUAAACUGUCAGGCUUGAGCAGAGUAGAGGCAGGUGGAAUUCCCGGUGUAGCGGUGGAAUGCGUAGAGAUCGGGAAGAACAUCGGUGGCGAAGGCGGCCUGCUGGGCUCUUGCUGACACUGAGGCGCGACAGCGUGGGGAGCAAACAGGAUUAGAUACCCUGGUAGUCCACGCCGUAAACGAUGGGUACUAGGCGCCGGGGGGAGCGACCCCUUCGGUGCCGUCGCUAACGCAAUAAGUACCCCGCCUGGGGAGUACGGCCGCAAGGCUGAA
This 376-nucleotide ribosomal RNA is filed under the name uncultured bacterium. RNAcentral's name for it is "bacterial SSU rRNA". It matches the Rfam family "Bacterial small subunit ribosomal RNA", at positions 524 to 898 of the family's 1533-position model. The record is from RNAcentral.